GUGGGUCGUAGCAUUCUUCGGGCACCACAUGUGUUUUUUAUUGAACAAAUUUCUUUGGUGGCGGGAGCAAUCCUACCGCCAGAGGUUAUAACUAAACCAAACUUUUUAUUUACAGUCAAACUUGAUUUAUUAUUACAAUAGUCAAAACUUUCAACAACGGAUCUCUUGGUUCUCGCAUCGAUGAAGAACGCAGCGAAAUGCGAUACGUAAUAUGAAUUGCAGAUAUUCGUGAAUCAUCGAAUCUUUGAACGCACAUUGCGCCCUUUGGUAUUCCAAAGGGCAUGCCUGUUUGAGCGUCAUUUCUCCCUCAAACCCCCGGGUUUGGUGUUGAGCAAUACGCUAGGUUUGUUUGAAAGAAUUUAACGUGGAAACUUAUUUUAAGCGACUUAGGUUUAUCCAAAACCCUUAAUUUGGUUAGGGGCCCCCCCAUUUAAUUUCUAACUUUUAACCCCAAUCCAGGAAGAAUACCCCCUUAACUUAAACCUAAUCAUUAACCGAAGAAAAGGG
Molecule: unclassified non-coding RNA, 507 nt
Filed under: Candida tropicalis
Lineage: Eukaryota; Fungi; Ascomycota; Pichiomycetes; Serinales; Debaryomycetaceae
Description: ITS1
Rfam family: 5.8S ribosomal RNA (bases 146-299)
Source: RNAcentral